RNAcentral lists this ribosomal RNA (792 nucleotides) under Triticum aestivum (bread wheat). RNAcentral describes it as "partial small subunit ribosomal RNA". The record is from RNAcentral. Lineage: Eukaryota; Viridiplantae; Streptophyta; Magnoliopsida; Poales; Poaceae.
AUGUCAUCCCCGGCGUGCCGUCCCGGCCUCCCGGCGCCUCGCCGGCAGGCGCCGCUCCUCCCCCGCCUAGCCGCUCCCCCGUCCGGCUCGAAGCGGGCUGUUCAUCGGACAAGACCUGCUCACUCCACCUUCGAGUUCUCCUCUCCUGGCCGCCGCCGUCGUACUCGGGUCAUCUCUUCUUGCCACGGUGGUUUGGUAGAAAGAAGGAGACUACUAUUGAUUCCUGCAAUUAGUCUCACCAUUGGCUCCCUUCAGUACAGUCUGGAGAAGGGAGCAGCAAAAGCUGAAUUUACUGACAUGCCAGCGCUUCGUGGGAAGGACUAUGGAAAGACAAAAAUGAGUUAUCCAGAUUACACUGAAACAGAAUCAGGCCUCCAAUACAAGGACUUGCGAGUUGGAGAGGGCCCAUCCCCAAAGAAGGGAGAGACAGUAGUGAUUGAUUGGGAUGGGUACACAAUUGGAUACUACGGUCGCAUUUUUGAAGCUCGAAACAAGACCAAGGGUGGUUCUUUCGAGGGUGGUGAUAAAGAAUUCUUCAAGUUUAAGGUUGGAUCAGGACAGGUAAUACCAGCCUUUGAGGAGGCUAUGACAGGCAUGCGUCCCGGUGGAGUUAGAAGGAUAAUAGUACCACCGGAUAUUGGAUACCCAGAUAAUGACUUGAACAAGUUAGGCCCCAAACCAACAACAUUUUCGGGACAAAGAGCUCUAGAUUUUGUUCUAAGGAAUCAAGGAUUAAUAGACAAAACUCUCCUGUUUGACAUUGAGCUUAUUAGGAUAAUUCCGAGUCAAUAG